Molecule: ribosomal RNA, 1175 nt
Filed under: uncultured bacterium
Lineage: Bacteria
Description: bacterial SSU rRNA
Rfam family: Bacterial small subunit ribosomal RNA
Source: RNAcentral
GCGAAAGCCGGAUUAAUACCGCAUAAGCUCUGAGGAGGAAAGCGGGGGAUCGCAAGACCUCGCGCUGUUGGAGCGGCCGAUGUCGGAUUAGCUAGUUGGUGGGGUAAGAGCUCACCAAGGCGACGAUCCGUAGCGGGUCUGAGAGGGUGACCCCCCACAAUGGAACUGAAACACGGUCCAUACACCUACGGGUGGCAGCAGUAGGGAAUUUUGGACAAUGGGGGGAACCCUGAUCCAGCCAUGCCGCGUGAGUGAAGAAGGCCUUCGGGUUGUAAAGCUCUUUCGGACGGAACGAAACGGUUACGGUGAACAAUCGUGACUAAUGACGGUACCGUAAGAAGAAGCACCGGCUAACUACGUGCCAGCAGCCGCGGUAAUACGUAGGGUGCGAGCGUUAAUCGGAAUUACUGGGCGUAAAGCGUGCGCAGGCGGCCUCUUAAGACAGGUGUGAAAUCCCCGAGCUUAACUUGGGAAUUGCGCUUGUGACUGGGAGGCUGGAGUGCGGAAGAGGGAGAUGGAAUUCCUGGUGUAGCAGUGAAAUGCGUAGAGAUCAGGAGGAACACCGAUGGCGAAGGCAGUCUCCUGGGCCAGCACUGACGCUCAUGCACGAAAGCGUGGGGAGCAAACAGGAUUAUAUACCCUGGGUAGUCCACGCCCUAAACGAUGUCGACUAGUUGUUGGGGAAGGAGACUUCCUUAGUGACGCAGCUAACGCGUGAAGUCGACCGCCUGGGGAGUACGGCCGCAAGGUUAAAACUCAAAGGAAUUGACGGGGACCCGCACAAGCGGUGGAUGAUGUGGAUUAAUUCGAUGCAACGCGAAGAACCUUACCUACCCUUGACAUGUGCGGAAGGGGGCAGAGAUGCUCUUGUGCCCGAAAGGGAGCCGCAACACAGGUGCUGCAUGGCUGUCGUCAGCUCGUGUCGUGAGAUGUUGGGUUAAGUCCCGCAACGAGCGCAACCCUUGCCAUUAGUUGCCACAUUUCAGGUGGGCACUCUAAUGGGACUGCCGGUGACAAACCGGAGGAAGGUGGGGAUGACGUCAAGUCCUCAUGGCCCUUAUGGGUAGGGCCUCACACGUCAUACAAUGGCGGAUACAGAGGGUUGCCAAAGCGCAAGCUGGAGCCAAUCCCAGAAAGUUCGGCGUAGUCCGGAUUGGAGUCUGCAACUCGACUCC